GCGUCCUGACCUCGUUCUGGCUGUUCCCCUCACCGGAGCUGUGGUGGUGGGGUCUGGGGGCGGACGCAGAUCAACUUACUCUCGUGUUAGGAGGGCUGCCAAAGGCAUGUGCAAGCCCUUAAAGGCAAGAGAGGACACU
RNAcentral lists this small nucleolar RNA (139 nucleotides) under Cathartes aura (turkey vulture). RNAcentral's name for it is "Small Cajal body specific RNA 11". It matches the Rfam family "Small Cajal body specific RNA 11". Rfam says of the family: scaRNAs are a specific class of small nuclear RNAs which localise to the Cajal bodies and guide the modification of RNA polymerase II transcribed spliceosomal RNAs U1, U2, U4, U5 and U12. ACA57 belongs to the H/ACA box class of guide RNAs as it has the predicted hairpin-hinge-hairpin-tail structure, conserved H/ACA-box motifs and is found associated with GAR1. ACA57 is predicted to guide the pseudouridylation of the U5 spliceosomal RNA at position U43. Lineage: Eukaryota; Metazoa; Chordata; Aves; Accipitriformes; Cathartidae. The record is from Rfam by way of RNAcentral.